CACCUUUUGACAUGCCCGGACCGCCAGAGAGAUCUGGUUUUCCCUUCGGGGACUGGGACACAGGUGCUGCAUGGCUGUCGUCAGCUCGUGUCGUGAGAUGUUGGGUUAAGUCCCGCAACGAGCGCAACCCUCGCCAUUAGUUGCCAUCAUUAAGUUGGGCACUCUAAUGGGACCGCCGGUGGUAAGCCGGAGGAAGGUGGGGAUGACGUCAAGUCCUCAUGGCCCUUACAAGGUGGGCUACACACGUGCUACAAUGGCGACUACAGAGGGUUGCAAACCUGCGAAGGGGAGCUAAUCCCUAAAAGUCGUCUCAGUUCGGAUUGCACUCUGCAACUCGAGUGCAUGAAGUCGGAAUCGCUAGUAAUCGCGGAUCAGCAUGCCGCGGUGAAUACGUUCCC
This 398-nucleotide ribosomal RNA is filed under the name uncultured bacterium. RNAcentral describes it as "bacterial SSU rRNA". It matches the Rfam family "Bacterial small subunit ribosomal RNA", at positions 975 to 1375 of the family's 1533-position model. The record is from RNAcentral.